RNAcentral lists this ribosomal RNA (120 nucleotides) under uncultured bacterium. RNAcentral describes it as "partial 16S ribosomal RNA". It matches the Rfam family "Bacterial small subunit ribosomal RNA", at positions 30 to 145 of the family's 1533-position model. The record is from RNAcentral.
AUUGAACGCUGGCGGCGUGCUUAACACAUGCAAGUCGAGCGGUAACAGGUGUAGCAAUACAUGCUGACGAGCGGCGGACGGGUGAGUAACGCUUGGGAAUCUGCCCUGAAGUGGGGAAUA